GACGAACGCUGGCGGCGUGCCUAAUACAUGCGAGUAGAACGCUGAAGCUUGGUGCUUGCACCGAGCGGAUGAGUUGCGAACGGGUGAGUAACGCGUAGGUAACCUGCCUGGUAGCGGGGGAUAACUAUUGGAAACGAUAGCUAAUACCGCAUAAGAGUAGAUGUUGCAUGACAUUUGCUUAAAAGGUGCAAUUGCAUCACUACCAGAUGGACCUGCGUUGUAUUAGCUAGUUGGUGAGGUAACGGCUCACCAAGGCAACGAUACAUAGCCGACCUGAGAGGGUGAUCGGCCACACUGGGACUGAGACACGGCCCAGACUCCUACGGGAGGCAGCAGUAGGGAAUCUUCGGCAAUGGACGGAAGUCUGACCGAGCAACGCCGCGUGAGUGAAGAAGGUUUUCGGAUCGUAAAGCUCUGUUGUAAGAGAAGAACGAGUGUGAGAGUGGAAAGUUCACACUGUGACGGUAUCUUACCAGAAAGGGACGGCUAACUACGUG
Molecule: ribosomal RNA, 497 nt
Filed under: uncultured bacterium
Lineage: Bacteria
Description: partial 16S ribosomal RNA
Rfam family: Bacterial small subunit ribosomal RNA
Source: RNAcentral